GGCCCCGUGUUCGGAGAGGGGAAGUUUUCCUCUUUCCUGUCGACGGAUUUCAGGACAUUCUGCUUUACAGACCAUUGCUGUGGUUGGGGUAGCAGUGGGCUAUAGCUGCCUGGAGGUGCUGCUUUAUCAAAGUCUGGAGGCUGUGCAUUCACCUUCCUGACUCACCAGUGAGCCUGAACAGAAGCAUUUACUGGCUUCCACACAAACUUCAGGAGCUGACAGGGAGCAGACACGCUGCCAAGAAGCCAUCCUCCUUGGAAGAUAGAAGCAAGGUUCUCCUCCCAGCCAGGAGCUCAGGCGCAUAAGAAUGAAGCAGGCUCUGUUCUCCCUUUGCAGACACACAGUGCUCCUGCACACCACUGACCUGGCAAGAAAAGGUCCUAAACGUGCCCCAGACCCCGAGACACCUGGCCAGCUUCUUUAACCUUUUCAUGGAGGCCUUCUAAGCUAAGUAAUUUAUUUAUAGUAAUAUUUA
This 475-nucleotide long non-coding RNA is filed under the name Gallus gallus (chicken). Lineage: Eukaryota; Metazoa; Chordata; Aves; Galliformes; Phasianidae. The record is from RNAcentral.